UCAUAACACUGUAGACUAUGUAUAUACUAUAACGUGAUCCAAAGGCUGUAACAUCAUCAGAUGCUGAUGACACAUCAGAUCUGCACCACGCCGGCGAGAACGUACGAGCUUUCGUCUUUGGCGGAAGCAGCUUUCGUUCCCAUGGCCUCGUUCGCUCACUUGUCGCCGGUUAUCACCAUCGGAUCACUGUCGAAGCGGUUGGCGUCUCGGAUGGGUAGCCAUGUGCGAUCCCUGUGGGAUUCUGAUGCACGUAAGGGAUUCAAACACUUAGAGAUUAAUCCCAGAGUUACACACUGCGUCGCUGACCUCUUUGUCCUUUGGUUCCUUGUCACUGGGACAGGUAAGGACGGCAACUGAGAUGCUCUUGACUGUUAACGCGGGAGCAGCUUCUCACUGAUCAUUUCAUCAAACAUGUUAUAGCAAGCUCAGUACCCAUCAUUACACCUGUGAAAUCUUGGAACAGGCUGCAGUUCCUGCUAUUCUACCCGAUGCCCAUGAAGAAUUCUAUAGAAAUGUCCUCACAGAACUGGAAUCUUCAGCGGAUGCCAUUUAUACAGGGAUAGAUCAGAUCCAAGUGCCCCAUUGCCACAACAGACCUCAGGGUUCGAUGUUCAUGAUGGUUAGUCUAUUAUAUCGUCCAUUGAUGCGUGGCUUUUUUUUUGUUUAGCUCAUGACUGUUCCAUUCAAUUGUAUUUGUAGGUUGAGGUGAACACGUCCCUUCUACUUGACAAACAAACCAAACGAGAAAAAAAAAAAGGAAGGAUAUGUUUUACUUCAAAGAAAAAUCAAAAGAAGGUGCAAAUUCUUAAACAAAUAUUUCUAAAAUGUUGAUAUUCCUGAACAGGAGAUGUAUUUUUGUAAAUAUUAUGUAUAGGUAGAUCCAUGCUAAAAUUGUCUUUUGGAAUCCAUAAAUAAACCAUUUUUGAAAUUUUCUUUUAAUCAUAUUACCACAAUUCAAAUUGCAGGCAGAGAAUUACCUGCUUAAUUUGUGACCUUCAUGGAGCUGAGGAAAUGCAUAUCACACCCAUCGCCUACAACGAAAGCUCCAGACAGCAGUUAUGCCAUUAAGAUGCAGAUAGCAAGAGACGACUUCUGAAUUUUACCCUUCUGUAAAUCCAUAGCAUACAAUAUAUAAGCAAUAUGGAUAAUAGGAUACUGCAAAUGAAUGGCAAGUGACAGAACUCAAAGUUACUUAUAGCCAAUGUUAGCAAAAGCUAUCAUAUAAAAUCCAGUAAAAACAGAAAGGAGAGCAUUUAUGAAUAUGCAUAGUGUUCUAAUGAAGAAUGUCAUUACUAUGCCCACCAUACUAACGAUGGCAACUAUCUUAUAUGAGUUUUAGGCAUUCGAGAAAAGAUUGGCAAGCCCACUGGGGCAUGAAUACAGAUAGGAGGUCAGAUUUCAGAAAGGUGAACAACAGAAAAAAUUGUCUUGAAACAUUAAAUGAUCCUAUAUGAGUUUUAAAGCAUUUUAAAUGCAGUGCAAUGUAAUAUCAUAAAGAAAGAAUUUAAGAAUGAGCACAUUGACAUUCUUUAGUUGAGACACUAAAAUAAAGUCUCUUGUUUUAAUAAUCAUUUCCUCCGACUACAGAGGUUAUAGAAAUGAAUAAAGGGUAUACAAUGAUCUAUCAAUUUUUUAAUAGGAUUAGACAUAAACAAGUCAACACCACAAUGUUCUUAAAUCUUGAAUAAAGGAGGCAUAGCUUAAAGACUAGUUUAAUCUCCUCAUGGAAAUUAGUUUGUCAUUGUUAUCACUGCAAAUCAGUCUGUAUAAGCAGACAAGUCUAAGGAAUUUUAAGCCUCAUAAUAACAUCACAAAUAAGUCACAUCAAUCCCAAUAUGUCUCUUGAUACGAAGCCCAUCUUCACAAUUCUGUGAUUGUUCUCCAAGUCUACUUCCACUUAUAAGAUCCAUUCCUCAACCCAGUUGAACUUAUUCUGGUAUAAUCAAUAUGUAAUUUCUUUAUUCAUUCUCACAAAAAUAACAAGCAUUUUUCAUAUAUCUCAGUAAUCCAUAAUCCAUGACAUUUCAUGUAGUCCAAUGUUCUUGUUUUAUUUCCAUUUCUAUGCAAGAAUAAACAAAACCUUAUAGCACCUAGCUUUUCUCCAACCGCUAAUCCAACAUCUACUUCUCGGAGGAAGGGUAAGCAUAACAAUCAUCGAAACCCUAAUUUUUCUUUUUCCGCAAGUGAAAUCCAAGAUUCUUUAAUUACAAGAUCAAGAUUUCUUGAGCCCUAAAACUUUCUUACAAGCAAAUUCCUAUAACGAACUACAGCGGAUGAAAACGGAAGCAAGCCCCAAGCAUCUCGAGUUGCAAGAAGGUCAUCAUUGAUCAGUUCGAAGGAAACAGCACAUAGCGAUCAAGAAUUCCUAUAACGAACUACGAUCAAUUAUUGAUCCCAAAAAAGUUUCUUACAAGCAAUUUCCUACGGUGAACCUCCAGGGGACGAACCGAAGCAGGCCCCAAGAAUCUUGAGUUGCAAGAAGAACAUCGCCGAUCAAGAAUUCCUAUAACUAACCACAACAAAGAUGACCAGCAAAUUUACAACAAUCUUGAGUUGCAAGAAGAUCAACGUGGAACGCAAAUGAUUCGUAUAAUCAUAACCCGCGAGCUACUUACCAUCAACAAUUCACGAGCGAUGGAAGAAACAUCUGAAGGAGGCGGAUCGAACCUUGAGGAUGGUUUGGAUCCACGUCCUAGUGAGAUCCCGCAACGGAAAAUGGGAAGGGGGCGGAGAAAAGUGGGGAGGAGAAGCAUUGUAAAACCCUAGGAGGAGAGUUCUUGAGAAUGGAGAUUAAGAUUUUGGUUUCUGCUCCGACGAAUCAGAUCACUCCCAUUUGGUUUCUGCUCCGCCGAAUCAGAUCACUCCCGCCGGUCCUCCCUCUUCGAGUCCUCNNNN
Molecule: long non-coding RNA, 2895 nt
Filed under: Musa acuminata (dwarf banana)
Lineage: Eukaryota; Viridiplantae; Streptophyta; Magnoliopsida; Zingiberales; Musaceae
Description: long non-coding RNA (MACU_LNC006646)
Source: RNAcentral